UAAAAUGCAAAUUGGAUCUUCAAGUGUGGUAUGCUUUAUUAUGCUUUACGCUAAAUGAUUUACGCUUGAUUACGCUUAUUUACGCUUGAAUGCUUUACGCUGAUAAGUUUAUGCUUAUGUUUGAUGCUUGCGUCUGUUGGGGGAGGCCUCCCUCAACAGUACGAUGCCGUGUCCGCUGAGGAGGGCCUUCCUCACGGCGCGAUGCCCGUGUCCGCUGAGGGAGGCCUCCCUAGCGGCGCGAUGCCAGUAUGCCAGUAUGCCAGUGUUACAGCGUCUAUUGGGGGAGGCCUCCCUCAAUAGUACGAUGCCGUGACCGCUGAGGGAGGCCCCCUUCACGGUGCGAUGCCCGUGUUCGUUGGGGAAGGCCUUCUCCACGACACGAUGCUUGUUUAUGAUUGUUGAUGAUGAAGAAUGCCCUUAUGCUAUUUAUGAAUUUGGAAAUGUUUAAUGAGCAAAUGAUAUGAAAGAAACUUAUGCCUCUUAUGCGAAGUUGUGUUUUGUUGUUGAUAUUAUGUUAUAUGCUUGGCACUGCCCACUAAGUACUCUUGUACUUAGCCCUUCGAUGUUUAUGUUUGUGCAGGUUGAGCUGUGAUGGGCGAUGAAGUGUUGUUGCUGAGUGGAGUUUUUGUCGAACUUAAAGUAGGCUCAGAAAGGGUACAUGUCUUCAUACAUGUAUCUCAGUUAUGCAUUCCGCU
RNAcentral lists this long non-coding RNA (695 nucleotides) under Salvia miltiorrhiza (redroot sage). RNAcentral describes it as "long non-coding RNA (SMIL_LNC003084)". Lineage: Eukaryota; Viridiplantae; Streptophyta; Magnoliopsida; Lamiales; Lamiaceae. The record is from RNAcentral.